This 557-nucleotide ribosomal RNA is filed under the name Dujonia oleophila. RNAcentral describes it as "eukaryotic LSU rRNA". It matches the Rfam family "Eukaryotic large subunit ribosomal RNA", at positions 79 to 651 of the family's 3401-position model. The record is from RNAcentral. Lineage: Eukaryota; Fungi; Ascomycota; Pichiomycetes; Serinales; Debaryomycetaceae.
CUUAGUACGGCGAGUGAAGCGGCAAAAGCUCAAAUUUGAAAUCUAGCACUUUCAGUGUUCGAGUUGUAAUUUGAAGAAGGUAACUUUGGAAUUGGCUCUUGUCUAUGUUCCUUGGAACAGGACGUCACAGAGGGUGAGAAUCCCGUGCGAUGAGAUGUCCAAUUCUAUGUAAAGUGCUUUCGAAGAGUCGAGUUGUUUGGGAAUGCAGCUCUAAGUGGGUGGUAAAUUCCAUCUAAAGCUAAAUAUUGGCGAGAGACCGAUAGCGAACAAGUACAGUGAUGGAAAGAUGAAAAGAACUUUGAAAAGAGAGUGAAAAAGUACGUGAAAUUGUUGAAAGGGAAGGGCUUGAGAUCAGACUUGGUAUUUUGUGUUCCUUAUCCUUCUUGGAUUAGGUUCCUCACAGCUUACCGGGCCAGCAUCGGUUUGGAUGGCAGGAUAAUGACAUUGGAAUGUAGCUUUGCUUCGGUGAAGUGUUAUAGACUUUGUUGAUACUGCCUAUCUAGACCGAGGACUGCGUCUUUGACUAGGAUGCUGGCGUAAUGAUCUUAAGCCGCCCG